This is a non-coding RNA of Cherax quadricarinatus, 543 nucleotides long. The record is from RefSeq and is a predicted model, not a curated record. Lineage: Eukaryota; Metazoa; Arthropoda; Malacostraca; Decapoda; Parastacidae.
UGUGGUCGAAGUUUGUUCCCCGGACUCGGUGAAGCUGGACUUGAGACGGCGUCUGCUGCAAGUGGCCCUGGAAACACCAACAUCAAGUAGAAGAAAAAAAAUAACUUUGUUAUACUGAACAUUGUUCACUACUGUUACCCACAACAACAUGAAUAAACUGCUGUUCUACUGAAGUUGCUAAUUCAAGUUGCCCAUAUUUAUGAAGUAACAAACUAGAAAUGAGUGGACACAAGUCAUUCACUCUUAGUGUUAAUUCUAAGGUUGCUGUGGCAGCAGCCCUUGGAGCUGGAGUGGUUGUGGGGGCCGGCACAGCAUAUCUUCUCACCCGCAUCAGUGAGCACACCCGUCUCACACAACAGAUUUCCAGUCUUCAUGCCACUAUUUUAGAAGUUAAAGACAUUGCUUCAUUAGAAACAGGUGAUAUGAGAAAGCUAAGCUGUCAGAUCAGUCGAUCUGCUGAACAUUUUUUGUUUUUCAUUUUUAAUGGUCUAUCAUUUUAUUGUACAUUAAGAUACUUGAUCUGGGCGUUCAAAUUAUAUGCAG